GUGAAAUUGUUGAAAGGGAAACGAUUGAAGCCAGUCGUACCUUCGGGUACUCAGCCUUUCGGGUGCGAUUAUGUGGAGUGCGAGGAGCUUAAACACCUUCAUGUUUUGCAUAUUCGUACUCUUGGGUGUACUUGCCCGUGUGGUUGGUUACCAUCAAUUUUGGUGGUCAUAAAAUGACUGGAGGACUGUAGCUUCGAUCUUGUAUUGAAGUAUUAUAGCCUUCGGUAGAUGUGAUGAUCGAGAUUGAGGAUUGCAACGGAUAUCCUUCGGGGCUACCUGUCUGGUCUCUGAUCUUUGCGUUGGUGCCGAAAGCUUGCUUACGGGAAUCAAAGUCGAUGGUCAAUAGGUUAGAACGGGUUAAAUUCGUUAAGGAUGUUGACGUAAUGGCUUUAAACGAC
This 398-nucleotide ribosomal RNA is filed under the name uncultured Rhizophagus. RNAcentral describes it as "eukaryotic LSU rRNA". Lineage: Eukaryota; Fungi; Glomeromycota; Glomeromycetes; Glomerales; Glomeraceae. The record is from RNAcentral.